AUGGAACCUUCCUUUGAGAUUCUGGCUUCAGCAGGCUCUACCUGUCUCCUUCAUAAUGUUCUGCUCUUCCCUAGAGACUGGGCUCCAGCUUCUGCUGUGGGAACAGGCUUUGUUGUUGUUUUCCCCCAGGGGUGUGCAGAGGGUUUGCAUGGGUGCCCAUUACUUGCUCUUAAGACAUCAGUUAAGAGUUUACAGCCUCCUCUGUUCAUUUCCUGCAGCACAAGCCAGCCUGGUGGCAGCAGACAAGGUGCUCUGCUUGGGCACAUGGGUCGGGGGUUGGGGGGUGAGAGUGUUCCCAAGUCCACCUUCAUUCUUCCCCCUCCCCCAUUACCUGUUGCAAGCUCGGGUGAAGAUUCAACACGUGGAGACUGCAGCCCACCCCCUCCUCCACCGUCCAAGCAGGGCUCAGGGCACCCUCGGAUCCCAGAAUCCUGUCUGCCCAGCCCUGUCGCCUUCUCCCUGGCACGCCUCGCCAGACACCGCGCCCCACCGCUGAGCUCCUGGCAGCCGGCCCGAGCUGGGCAAUACCCGUCGCUUGUCGCUGGGCGGCCACUUCCUGGGUCCAGACGUGGGGGGUUGGGGGUAGUCGUUCCCUGAGGGAACUCAGGCGCCCU
Molecule: long non-coding RNA, 614 nt
Filed under: Ovis aries (sheep)
Lineage: Eukaryota; Metazoa; Chordata; Mammalia; Artiodactyla; Bovidae
Description: lncRNA (ENSOARG00000025399.1)
Source: RNAcentral